Non-coding RNA from Anopheles epiroticus, 47 nucleotides. The record is from Rfam. NCBI's taxonomy places the organism in Eukaryota, Metazoa, Arthropoda, Insecta, Diptera, Culicidae.
ACCAAAGUCCUUUUCAGGACUACAGCAUACGUUUUGGAAAAGGUUCU